This 206-nucleotide ribosomal RNA is filed under the name uncultured bacterium. RNAcentral's name for it is "partial 16S ribosomal RNA". It matches the Rfam family "Bacterial small subunit ribosomal RNA", at positions 1295 to 1500 of the family's 1533-position model. The record is from RNAcentral.
AGAUCGCAGUCUGCAACCCGACUGCGUGAAGUCGGAAUCGCUAGUAAUCGCGGAUCAGCAUGCCGCGGUGAAUACGUUCCCGGGCCUUGUACACACCGCCCGUCACACCAUGAGAGUCGGGAACACCCGAAGUCCGUAGCCUAACCGCAAGGGGGGCGCGGCCGAAGGUGGGUUCGAUAAUUGGGGUGAAGUCGUAACAAGGUAAC